This is a long non-coding RNA of Spinacia oleracea (spinach), 1676 nucleotides long. RefSeq lists it as uncharacterized. NCBI's taxonomy places the organism in Eukaryota, Viridiplantae, Streptophyta, Magnoliopsida, Caryophyllales, Amaranthaceae. The transcript is spliced from 4 exons. The record is from RefSeq and is a predicted model, not a curated record.
UUAACUUUUUAAAUUUUCGAUUUGGGUUUUAGGGUUUUACCUCUUGAUGACAAAUAAUUCUUCCUCCAGCGCAAUUGCUUUUCACGAAUUCACCAAAUUAACGAACAAUCCUAGCUCGUCUUGAAAAUGGAGGUGUGAAUUUUUUGCCCAAAAUUCCCGAAAUCUGAAUUUCUUGCUCGUCUUCACUGCAGGAGGAGCACGAGGAAGAAGGACUGCUUUGAAGGAGGAGAGAGAAUAACAAGGAGGAGAGAGACAAUGUGAGUAUUAAAUACCUCAAAUUCAAAAAUUUUGAAAUCUGAAAUUUUUGCCAGCAAUGAAUAACGGAGUCCGUUAUUUCCAAGUGGGCCUCUCUCUUUUUACGGUGAAAAUACCAUAAUGCCCCCACUUGUGUCCAGAUUGGACACAAGCCAUUAUGGAGCAAGACUUCCUCCCUCCCCAACACCCAUUAAUGAUGCAUCUUUGGAAGUGAUAUAAAUAUAUACUCAUGUCAAAACAUACAAAAUUACCAGUUUUAUCUAAUACUUCCCCCGCAAAUAUUAGGAAUGCAACACUUUGUGCUAAUUCAACAUAAUUACUCGUAUUAAGCGCACAUUGGAUUAGGUAACACUGCUCACCACCCUCCCGAAUUCCAGCAAAAUGAUUUAAAGAAAAUAGCAGGUAGCCAACCAACCAUCAACCACUGCACCCAACUGAUAUACUAACAGACUGCAGUUUCUCUGCAACCACAACAGAAAACACAACCCAGAAGCCUACUGCAGUAGCAAAACUAUGGUGCUUCAGCUACAUCAUAUCCGUGAUCAGAUUUGCUACUGCAAACACCCAGCUGACUUAACAACACUUAUAACCCCAUUUUGCAACUGACAAAACCAUCUACAGUCAGCGUGUGUUUAUUUAUCAUUUUUCAAAGCCUGAAUUCUAUUAUACAUUUCAGAUUUGACUCGUUUCAUCAUGACAGAAGGCAAAUCAUAACAGAUUACCACAAAGAAGAUAAGUGAUGCAAUUUAAUAACAUUUCCUUCCUUCAUUUGACCUUGACAUAAAUUACAUACAGUAUUUCUUUCUUUAACCUUUCAAAAGUUGGAGUUCAUCUACUGUUCCUUAUGAACAGUAACUCCACACGUGCCAAUUCCCACGUAUCAAUCCCUAAUUUUUCCUCUCAAGUUUUUCCUCCCUUUCUCUCUCUUCCCCCAUCCUCUAUAUCCUGUAACUCUGUAAACUAGAACCCGUGAAAAUGGAGGUUUCUCCUUCAAGGUCAAGAAAUCUAAGGCUUUUCUCUGUUUGGAAAUCACGUGACUGCGAGAGGGGAAGCUUUGGUUCCUACUCGUAGUGUUGGUGUUCCUCGAUCAAUCAAGGAACCUACGCCGGAGUUGAAGUGGAUGCAUUGACCAGCUUUAAUUGAGUGAUUAUUAUGAAGGACCAACCUGCCGUCCAAGUAUUUCAACGGGGUCCAAUGCGAAUGAAAGUCUAGGGCAUCCUAUCAUUAGAAGUGAUUCUUUAGGCAGGGGUACAUUUGUACCCAAUGACAUUAAUAUUGGUGCCAAGACUCCCUUAUAGCACUUUACAAUCUCUCUAUAUUAAUCACCAGCAAACAUUGCCUUUGAUUGUAUCACCAGAUAUUGUAUUGUACUAAAGCUUUGUUUACCUAUUUUAUUUAUUAAAUUUCUCUUUACCUCGCCA